This is a long non-coding RNA of Amblyraja radiata (thorny skate), 241 nucleotides long. RefSeq lists it as uncharacterized. The transcript has 3 exons. Lineage: Eukaryota; Metazoa; Chordata; Chondrichthyes; Rajiformes; Rajidae. The record is from RefSeq and is a predicted model, not a curated record.
AAGGAAUGGUGAAUCCUUUUGAUGAAUUUAACUGAACACAACGAAGCAAGAAACAAACCUGAAGCCCUGACAAAAAAAAUACACAGGCUGGAAAUGAUGGUUUUGGUAAUCCUGGCCUUUUGGCUUUUGCUGCCAUUUUCUGUUUCAGCGGUUGAAGCAAACCAAUAUUGCUCAGCUCAGCCGUCAAAGGACCCCUUUGCUCCAUUAUUCAUGCCGUUUCGUAGAUCUGAGUUCGAAGUAA